RNAcentral lists this long non-coding RNA (1338 nucleotides) under Felis catus (domestic cat). RNAcentral describes it as "lncRNA (ENSFCAG00000047260.1)". The stretch from base 1252 to 1336 matches the Rfam family "tRNA". Lineage: Eukaryota; Metazoa; Chordata; Mammalia; Carnivora; Felidae. The record is from RNAcentral.
AUGCGUUCCAUGACCUUCUUUCUUUCCAACCAGCCACGUUUCCAAAAGGACCGGAGAGCUAGAAUUCCUGCCAUCUCCCCUCAGCCCAUUCAACAACAGCAUUUGUCGCGCACAUGUGCGGACCAUCUGCCCCAAGGAGAAACUGCUCGAGCCACAGGGCUGAUUAACUCUUAUGAGCUACGAGUCGGUGCCUGGAGGCUAAGUGACUCGCGACGAGAGAUCAGUGCUUUAGGAAGAAGUGGAGCCGGGGAGACCGAAGUUCCUAUUCUGGCACCAGUGCCUGCUCGCUGUGGAACACGAGGCCAAAUCCUAGGGAGGAUUUCACCAAAUUUGACAAACCGAAUUAGAAAUUCAUAAGAGAAGCAAAGGACCGGGACUAGCUGAGACACCUGUAAAGGCGAUAGCCAAUGUGAGGGGUCUUUCGCUGCAAGAUACCACACUCAUAGCCGUGUAGAACUGCUGUGAUUAAAGCAGUGUGGUCAACGGGGUAUCGCAGCAGAAGAGAACAAGUAGAACAGCGAUGCCCAAGAGAAAGCCGGCGGGAACACACAGCCAUGGGAGAGCCCGUUAUGUGACCAACGUGGCAUCAUCAAUGGGAAAUCACGGACUCUUCGAAAAACAGCGUUGAGACAGUUGAUUAGUCCAAGAAAAAAAUUCGUUUCAUUCACUAAAUACAGCUGUUUUCUUCUCCUUCUGGGAGCAGGAGGGAGUUGCAUCGUCCCGAACCCUCUGAAACUAGACAUGGUUAUGUGACUCGCUUUGGCCAUGGAAAGGUGAUCAGAAGACACACGUGUCCCUUCACGCAUGGCCCUAAGCACCAGUAUGAGACUCACCGCAUUCACCCCCUUUAUUCAGGGAUCCCAGAGGCCCCUGUCUAGAUAAGCCCCCAGCAUCCUGGGUCCCCCAGGGGCUACGAUGAGCAGAGACCCUGCACUCCCACAGUGGACGACAGUAUAAAUGAGACAUAAAUUUGGGGUUAAGCCUCUGGCAUUCGGGUUUAUUUCUGCAGUACAACCUAGCCUCUCCUACUACAAAAAGAACCCAAAAUUAUACUUGCAUGGAUUAAAAACCCAGAUAUGAAAACUCUAAAAUUUUUAGAAAAAGAUACAGGCAAAGAUCUUUAUGAGCUCAGAGUAUGGGAGGACUCUGUAAAAGUUUUUAAAAAUUAUCAGCCAUAAAGGAAAAGAUCAACGUAUUGACCUCAUCCAAGUUAAAGUCUUCUGUUCAUUAGAAAACACCAUACAUAGGGGCGCCUGGGUGGCUCAGUCGGUUGAGCGUCUGACUUCAGCUCAGGUCAUGAUCUUGCGGUCUGUGAGUUCGAGCCCCGCGUCAGGCUCU